Molecule: ribosomal RNA, 270 nt
Filed under: uncultured archaeon
Lineage: Archaea
Description: partial 16S ribosomal RNA
Rfam family: Archaeal small subunit ribosomal RNA
Source: RNAcentral
CAGCACCUCAAGUGGUCAGGAUGAUUAUUGGGCCUAAAGCAUCCGUAGCCGGCGCUGUAAGUUUUCGGUUAAAUCUGUACGCUCAACGUACAGGCUGCCGGGAAUACUGCAGCGCUAGGGAGUGGGAGAGGUAGACGGUACUCGGUAGGAAGGGGUAAAAUCCUUUGAUCUAUUGAUGACCACCUGUGGCGAAGGCGGUCUACCAGAACACGUCCGACGGUGAGGGAUGAAAGCUGGGGGAGCAAUCCGGAUUAGAUACCCGAGUAGUCC